GAUGAACGCUGGCGGCGUGCUUAACACAUGCAAGUCGAACGGGAAACCUUUUAUUGAAGCUUCGGCAGAUUUAGCUGGUUUCUAGUGGCGGACGGGUGAGUAACGCGUGGGUAACCUGCCUUAUACAGGGGGAUAACAACCAGAAAUGGUUGCUAAUACCGCAUAAGCGCACAGGACCGCAUGGUCCGGUGUGAAAAACUCCGGUGGUAUAAGAUGGACCCGCGUUGGAUUAGCUAGUUGGCAGGGUAACGGCCUACCAAGGCGACGAUCCAUAGCCGGCCUGAGAGGGUGAACGGCCACAUUGGGUCUGAGACACGGCCCAGACUCCUACGGGAGGCAGCAGUGGGGAAUAUUGCACAAUGGGGGAAACCCUGAUGCAGCGACGCCGCGUGAAGGAAGAAGUAUCUCGGUAUGUAAACUUCUAUCAGCAGGGAAGAUAGUGACGGUACCUGACUAAGAAGCCCCGGCUAACUACGUG
RNAcentral lists this ribosomal RNA (478 nucleotides) under uncultured bacterium. RNAcentral describes it as "partial 16S ribosomal RNA". It matches the Rfam family "Bacterial small subunit ribosomal RNA", at positions 28 to 507 of the family's 1533-position model. The record is from RNAcentral.